Molecule: ribosomal RNA, 467 nt
Filed under: uncultured bacterium
Lineage: Bacteria
Description: partial 16S ribosomal RNA
Rfam family: Bacterial small subunit ribosomal RNA
Source: RNAcentral
ACGCACGCUGGCGGCGUGCUUAACACCUGCACGUCGAACGGAAAGGCCCUGCUUUUGUGGGGUGCUCGAGUGGCGAACGGGUGAGUAACACGUGAGUAACCUGCCCUUGACUUUGGGAUAACUUCAGGAAACUGGGGCUAAUACCGGAUAGGAGCUCCUGCUGCAUGGUGGGGGUUGGAAAGUUUCGGCGGUUGGGGAUGGACUCGCGGCUUAUCAGCUUGUUGGUGGGGUAGUGGCUUACCAAGGCUUUGACGGGUAGCCGGCCUGAGAGGGUGACCGGCCACAUUGGGACUGAGAUACGGCCCAGACUCCUACGGGAGGCAGCAGUGGGGAAUAUUGCACAAUGGGCGGAAGCCUGAUGCAGCAACGCCGCGUGCGGGAUGACGGCCUUCGGGUUGUAAACCGCUUUCGCCUGUGACGAAGCGUGAGUGACGGUAAUGGGUAAAGAAGCACCGGCUAACUACGUG